UAUUAAUAAGCGGAGGAAGAGAAACCAACAGGGAUUCCCUUAGUAAGGGCGACUGAACCGGGAAGAGCCCAGCGCAGAAGCCCGUGUCCUCGAGGGGCCACGGGCGGUGUUGCGUUUCGGAGGGUCCAAUGCGCCGCCUCAUACCGUCCAAGUCAAGCUUGAACGCGGCCACUACCCAAGGAGGGUGACAGGCCCGUAUGGCGGCGCCCGUGAGGGCACCGAUAAGGCGAUCGCAACGGACCGUAUCUCCGUAGAGUCGGGUUGCUUGAAAGUGCAGCCCAAAGUAGGUGGUAAACUCCAUCUAAGGCUAAAUACGACCACGAGACCGAUAGAGAACAAGUACCGUGAGGGAAAGUUGAAA
RNAcentral lists this ribosomal RNA (361 nucleotides) under Palinurellus wieneckii. Its description in RNAcentral is "eukaryotic LSU rRNA". It matches the Rfam family "Eukaryotic large subunit ribosomal RNA", at positions 41 to 369 of the family's 3401-position model. The record is from RNAcentral. Lineage: Eukaryota; Metazoa; Arthropoda; Malacostraca; Decapoda; Synaxidae.